CAGUCGCCGCGGGAAUACGGAGGGUGCAAGCGUUAAUCGGAAUUACUGGGCGUAAAGCGCACGCAGGCGGUUUGUUAAGUCAGAUGUGAAAUCCCUGAGCUUAACUUAGGAAUUGCAUUCGAUACUGGGAAGCUAGAGUAUGGGAGAGGAUGGUAGAAUUCCAGGUGUAGCGGUGAAAUGCGUAGAGAUCUGGAGGAAUACCGAUGGCGAAGGCAGCCAUCUGGCCUAAUACUGACGCUGAGGUACGAAAGCAUGGGGAGCAAACAGGAUUAGAUACCCCCGUAGUCCCUGUCUCUUAUAC
This 301-nucleotide ribosomal RNA is filed under the name uncultured bacterium. Its description in RNAcentral is "partial 16S ribosomal RNA". It matches the Rfam family "Bacterial small subunit ribosomal RNA", at positions 509 to 807 of the family's 1533-position model. The record is from RNAcentral.